AAUUUAAAAAAAAAAUUCAAAACCAGAUGCUCCGCAGGGCGCAGCCUUAUACGACCGCAAAGGUUGAACCCUGAACGGUUGGGGCAAGUAUGGACACAACAUUCAAGCUGGAUUCAGCUCUAAAUUUGGAUUGUGAUUAAAUAGUUGACACAGCAUAGGUUUCUGACACAGAAUGAAUGUGGUCUAAUGAAUUUAAAAUAUUUUUUUUGCCUUUGAGCAAUUCACUAUGCUGUUGAAUAUUAAUCCUCUAAAAAAAUGUUUGAAGAAAUUUUCUUUUUAUUUAUCCAAUCUGAAAUGAGAAAUUUACCUCCCCCCCCCCUUUUUUUCAUAUCCCCCUUUCCCUUUUUCCAAAACUGAUCUCAAUUCAAAUUUCUAAUGGAG
Molecule: long non-coding RNA, 381 nt
Filed under: Mytilus galloprovincialis (Mediterranean mussel)
Lineage: Eukaryota; Metazoa; Mollusca; Bivalvia; Mytilida; Mytilidae
Source: RNAcentral